UCUUUUCAGCUGAAGAUAAAAUUAUUCCCACUUUUCUGAGCUCCCGUACGUGUUAUGAUGUGAUGCCAGUCAGUGGUAAAGUUGUUGUACUGUCUGUUGAGCUUUUGGUAAAAAAUGCAUUCGAGGCUCUUGUAAAUAAUGAACUCAGAGCUGCCCCUUUAUGG
Molecule: non-coding RNA, 164 nt
Organism: Parasteatoda tepidariorum (common house spider)
Lineage: Eukaryota; Metazoa; Arthropoda; Arachnida; Araneae; Theridiidae
Source: RefSeq, a predicted model, not a curated record